AUGGCGACCGGCGCUGGCGGAGGUCAGCCGAGCGUUCUGAGCACAUUGCCGAAGAAUCUGCCGUUAGACUUUCUGAAAACCAUCACCGACCAGUUCUCAGACGAGCGUAAAAUCGGUACAGGCGCAUUUGGAACUGUUUAUAUGGGAUUAAUGCCGGAUGGGCAAAUAAUUACCGUGAAGAAACUCGCUGAAAAUUCACCAAUUGCGCGUGAGAAAGCAUUUGCUAACGAGGUUCAGAAUAUUAUGGCUCUCCACCAUGAAAAUGUAGUAAAAUUGGUGGGCUACUGCCAUGAAGGUCAAAAGAAAGUGGUGCUGAACAAUGGAAGAUAUAUCGUGGCUGACAUUGUUGAAAGUUUACUUUGCCACGAGUACGUACCAAGGGGAAGCCUUCAGAAGAAUCUUUUUGAACUACAUACAAAAAUGGACUGGAACAUACGCUUCAACAUAAUUAAGGGGAUUUGCAACGGUUUGCACUUUGUACACAGCAUUCCUAUUGUCCAUAUGGAUCUCAAGCCGGAAAACAUACUGUUGGAUGAUAACAUGGUGCCGAAAAUCGCCGAUUUCGGUCUCUCCAGACUCUUUGGUCAAGAACAAACACGGAUGAACACACAGAAUGUUGUUGGGUCAUAUGGAUACAUAGCUCCGGAAUAUCUAUACAGAGGUGAAAUCUCCACCAAGUCAGACAUAUACAGUUUAGGCCUACUAAUCAUGGAGACUACCACGGGAGAGAAGAAUUGUCCAGGCAAAGAACCUUCUGCAGUGCAAUUCAUAAAAAAUGUACGUGAAAAUUGGAAAGAGCAGCGCAUCGCAUCUGAGUACCCAUUGUUAGAUGUGGAUGGCCUCCAACAAGUAAAAAAAUGCAUUGAAAUAGGACUGGAAUGUGUUGAGAUUGAUCGGCUGAAGAGACCAUCCAUAGAAACAAUUCUCGACAAGCUAAACGGACGAUGUGCAUCCAUAAGAAACUAA
Molecule: ribosomal RNA, 966 nt
Filed under: Triticum aestivum (bread wheat)
Lineage: Eukaryota; Viridiplantae; Streptophyta; Magnoliopsida; Poales; Poaceae
Description: partial small subunit ribosomal RNA
Source: RNAcentral